This 469-nucleotide ribosomal RNA is filed under the name uncultured bacterium. RNAcentral describes it as "bacterial SSU rRNA". It matches the Rfam family "Bacterial small subunit ribosomal RNA", at positions 329 to 795 of the family's 1533-position model. The record is from RNAcentral.
GUCCAGACUCCUACGGGAGGCAGCAGUGAGGAAUAUUGGUCAAUGGCCGGAAGGCUGAACCAGCCAAGUCGCGUGAGGGAAUAAGGCCCUAUGGGUCGUAAACCUCUUUUGUCAGGGAGCAAAGGCGUCCACGUGUGGACGAGAGGAGAGUACCCGAAGAAAAAGCAUCGGCUAACUCCGUGCCAGCAGCCGCGGUAAUACGGAGGAUGCGAGCGUUAUCCGGAUUUAUUGGGUUUAAAGGGUGCGUAGGCGGAACAUUAAGUCAGCGGUAAAAUCGAGGGGCUCAACCCCUUUAAGCCGUUGAAACUGGUGAUCUUGAGUGGGCGAGAAGUAUGCGGAAUGCGUGGUGUAGCGGUGAAAUGCAUAGAUAUCACGCAGAACUCCGAUUGCGAAGGCAGCAUACCGGCGCCCGACUGACGCUGAGGCACGAAGGCGUGGGUAUCGAACAGGAUUAGAUACCCCAGUAGUG